GACCUGGCUCAGGAUGAACGCUAGCUACAGGCUUAACACAUGCAAGUCGAGGGGCAGCGGGAAGUCAGCUUGCUGGCUUUGCCGGCGACCGGCGCACGGGUGAGUAACACGUAUCCAACCUUCCCGUUACUCUGGAAUAGCCUUUCGAAAGAAAGAUUAAUACCGGAUAGUAUCGAGAGAUUGCAUGAUUACCCGAUUAAAGAUUCAUCGGUAACGGAUGGGGAUGCGUUCCAUUAGGCAGUUGG
RNAcentral lists this ribosomal RNA (245 nucleotides) under uncultured bacterium. Its description in RNAcentral is "partial 16S ribosomal RNA". It matches the Rfam family "Bacterial small subunit ribosomal RNA", at positions 16 to 252 of the family's 1533-position model. The record is from RNAcentral.